This 629-nucleotide ribosomal RNA is filed under the name uncultured bacterium. Its description in RNAcentral is "bacterial SSU rRNA". The stretch from base 1 to 527 matches the Rfam family "Bacterial small subunit ribosomal RNA", at positions 338 to 873 of the family's 1533-position model. The record is from RNAcentral.
CCUACGGGAGGCAGCAGUAGGGAAUCUUGCGCAAUGGGCGAAAGCCUGACGCAGCCAUGCUGCGUGAAUGAUGAAGGUCUUAGGAUUGUAAAAUUCUUUCACCGGGGAAGAUAAUGACGGUACCCGGAGAAGAAGCCCCGGCUAACUUCGUGCCAGCAGCCGCGGUAAUACGAAGGGGGCUAGCGUUGCUCGGAAUUACUGGGCGUAAAGGGCGCGUAGGCGGAUAGUUUAGUCAGAGGUGAAAGCCCAGGGCUCAACCUUGGAACUGCCUUUGAUACUGGCUAUCUUGAGUUCGGGAGAGGUGAGUGGAAUGCCGAGUGUAGAGGUGAAAUUCGUAGAUAUUCGGCGGAACACCAGUGGCGAAGGCGACUCACUGGCCCGAUACUGACGCUGAGGCGCGAAAGCGUGGGGAGCAAACAGGAUUAGAUACCCUGGUAGUCCACGCUGUAAACGAUGAGUGNUAGUUGUCGGCGAUGCAUGCAUGUUCGGUGGACGGACAGACUAACGACAUUAAGUACGACUCCGCCGUCGGGGGUUACGGGGUCGGCGAAGAAGUUAAAACGUUAACGAAAGUAAAGUUAGUUACGGCGUUGAGACGUGCCGACGGACGACGACGAGGGGAGGAGGAG